RNAcentral lists this ribosomal RNA (468 nucleotides) under uncultured bacterium. Its description in RNAcentral is "partial 16S ribosomal RNA". It matches the Rfam family "Bacterial small subunit ribosomal RNA", at positions 28 to 507 of the family's 1533-position model. The record is from RNAcentral.
GACGAACGCUGGCGGCGUGCUUAACACAUGCAAGUCGAACGGAAAGGCCCUGCUUUUGUGGGGUGCUCGAGUGGCGGACGGGUGAGUAGCACGUGAGUAACCUGCCCUUGACUUUGGGAUAACUUCAGGAAACUGGGGCUAAUACCGGAUAGGAGCUCCUGCUGCAUGGUGGGGGUUGGAAAGUUUCGGCGGUUGGGGAUGGACUCGCGGCUUAUCAGCUUGUUGGUGGGGUAGUGGCUUACCAAGGCUUUGACGGGUAGCCGGCCUGAGAGGGUGACCGGCCACAUUGGGACUGAGAUACGGCCCAGACUCCUACGGGAGGCAGCAGUGGGGAAUAUUGCACAAUGGGCGGAAGCCUGAUGCAGCAACGCCGCGUGCGGGAUGACGGCCUUCGGGUUGUAAACCGCUUUCGCCUGUGACGAAGCGUGAGUGACGGUAAUGGGUAAAGAAGCACCGGCUAACUACGUG